CGCGAAGAACCUUACCAGGUCUUGACAUCUAGUGCCAUCCUAAGAGAUUAGGAGUUCCCUUCGGGGACGCUGAGACAGGUGGUGCAUGGCUGUCGUCAGCUCGUGUCGUGAGAUGUUGGGUUAAGUCCCGCAACGAGCGCAACCCUUAUUAUUAGUUGCCAGCAUUAAGUUGGGCACUCUAAUGAGACUGCCGGUGACAAACCGGAGGAAGG
RNAcentral lists this ribosomal RNA (212 nucleotides) under uncultured bacterium. RNAcentral's name for it is "partial 16S ribosomal RNA". It matches the Rfam family "Bacterial small subunit ribosomal RNA", at positions 960 to 1173 of the family's 1533-position model. The record is from RNAcentral.